GUGCCAGCAGCCGCGGUAAUACGGAGGGUGCAAGCGUUGUUCGGAAUCACUGGGCGUAAAGCGCGUGUAGGCGGCCUUCUAAGUUCGGUGUGAAAGCCCGGGGCUCACCCCCGGAAGUGCACCGGAUACUGGGAGGCUAGAGUACCGGAGAGGAGGGUGGAAUUCCUGGUGUAGCGGUGAAAUGCGUAGAUAUCAGGAAGAACACCGGUGGCGAAGGCGGCCCUCUGGACGGAUACUGACGCUGAGACGCGAAAGCGUGGGGAGCAAACAGGAUUAGAAACCCCUGUAGUCC
RNAcentral lists this ribosomal RNA (292 nucleotides) under uncultured bacterium. RNAcentral describes it as "partial 16S ribosomal RNA". It matches the Rfam family "Bacterial small subunit ribosomal RNA", at positions 505 to 796 of the family's 1533-position model. The record is from RNAcentral.